Small nucleolar RNA from Gossypium raimondii (Peruvian cotton), 106 nucleotides. It matches the Rfam family "Plant small nucleolar RNA R71". Rfam says of the family: R71 is a member of the C/D box family of snoRNAs containing the C (UGAUGA) and D (CUGA) box motifs. Multiple nearly identical copies of this snoRNA have been identified in Arabidopsis, and it is thought to function as a 2'-O-ribose methylation guide for 18S ribosomal RNA. NCBI's taxonomy places the organism in Eukaryota, Viridiplantae, Streptophyta, Magnoliopsida, Malvales, Malvaceae. The record is from Rfam.
AUUCCAUGAUGAGGGCAUUUUCGUAAAAAUUCUUUAAAUCUUUCUCAUGCCUCAUAGAAAGACUCAUCAUCCAUCUAUUGGAAAGUAGUGAUUUCAUUUUGCAACU